This 675-nucleotide ribosomal RNA is filed under the name alpha proteobacterium IMCC14836. Its description in RNAcentral is "bacterial SSU rRNA". It matches the Rfam family "Bacterial small subunit ribosomal RNA", at positions 28 to 749 of the family's 1533-position model. Lineage: Bacteria; Pseudomonadati; Pseudomonadota; Alphaproteobacteria. The record is from RNAcentral.
AACGUACGCUGGCGGCACGCCUAACACAUGCAAGUCGAACGAAGUAGCAAUACUUAGUGGCAGACGGGUGAGUAACAUGUAGGUAUCUGCCCUUUGGCCUGGAAUAACACGAGGAAACUUGUGCUAAUACCGGAUAAGUCUUUACGGAGAAAGCUUUAUGCACCAUUGGAUGAGCCUGCACUUGAUUAGUUUGUUGGUGGGGUAAUGGCCUACCAAGACUGUGAUCAAUAGCUGAUUUGAGAGGAUGAUCAGCCACAUUGGGACUGAGACACGGCCCAAACUCUUACGGGAGGCAGCAGUGGGGAAUCUUGCACAAUGGAGGAAACUCUGAUGCAGCGAUGCCGCGUGAGUGAAGAAGGCCCUUGGGUUGUAAAGCUCUUUCGUCGGGGAAGAAAAUGACUGUACCCGAAUAAGAAGGUCCGGCUAACUUCGUGCCAGCAGCCGCGGUAAUACGAAGGGACCUAGCGUAGUUCGGAAUUACUGGGCUUAAAGAGUUCGUAGGUGGUUGAAAAAGUUAGUGGUGAAAUCCCAGAGCUUAACUCUGGAACUGCCAUUAAAACUUUUCAGCUAGAGUACGAUAGAGGAAAGCAGAAUUUCUAGUGUAGAGGUGAAAUUCGUAGAUAUUAGAAAGAACACCAAUGCGAAGGCAGCUUUCUGGAUCAUUACUGACACUGA